This 355-nucleotide long non-coding RNA is filed under the name Phoenix dactylifera (date palm). RNAcentral's name for it is "long non-coding RNA (PDAC_LNC021141)". The record is from RNAcentral. Lineage: Eukaryota; Viridiplantae; Streptophyta; Magnoliopsida; Arecales; Arecaceae.
CCAAACGGAACCCCUGAAGAGGGAAAAACCACUCUUCGGUCAUUUCGACCUCCAGGACGCUCAUGGUGGAUACGACUUCACUGGGGAGAGAACCCAUUGUAGGGGAAGAAAAGGAUUAAAAAAGCAAAAAGGACAACCUGGGGAAGAUACCGGAGAAAAGGGACUUCGGUCUGAGGAAGACUGGAAGAAUAGAAAGCUGGAAGCAGAAAACAAUAGGAAGAGGACAGAGGGCCAGGGGAGAGUUUAAAUAGACCUCCCCAACGGCCCGGAUCAGCGAGAAAAACGCUGUAUCCUGUUUAGAUGACGACGCGUGUCAGUCCAAAAGACAGAACAACGCAUUUAAUUAGGGCUAGCG